This 478-nucleotide ribosomal RNA is filed under the name uncultured bacterium. RNAcentral's name for it is "partial 16S ribosomal RNA". It matches the Rfam family "Bacterial small subunit ribosomal RNA", at positions 28 to 523 of the family's 1533-position model. The record is from RNAcentral.
GACGAACGCUGGCGGCGUGCUUAACACAUGCAAGUCGAACGGUAAGGCCCUUCGGGGUACACGAGUGGCGAACGGGUGAGUAACACGUGGGUGAUCUGCCCUGCACUUCGGGAUAAGCCUGGGAAACUGGGUCUAAUGCCGGAUAGGACCACUGCCUGCAUGGGGGGUGGUGGAAAGCUUUUGCGGUGUGGGAUGGGCCCGCGGCCUAUCAGCUUGUUGGUGGGGUGAUGGCCUACCAAGGCGACGACGGGUAGCCGGCCUGAGAGGGUGACCAGCCACACUGGGACUGAGAUACGGCCCAGACUCCUACGGGAGGCAGCAGUGGGGAAUAUUGCACAAUGGGCGCAAGCCUGAUGCAGCGACGCCGCGUGAGGGAUGACGGCCUUCGGGUUGUAAACCUCUUUCAGCACCGACGAAGCGCAAGUGACGGUAGGUGCAGAAGAAGGACCGGCCAACUACGUGCCAGCAGCCGCCGUAA